This 1372-nucleotide ribosomal RNA is filed under the name uncultured bacterium. RNAcentral describes it as "bacterial SSU rRNA". It matches the Rfam family "Bacterial small subunit ribosomal RNA", at positions 28 to 1381 of the family's 1533-position model. The record is from RNAcentral.
GAUGAACGCUGGCGGCGUGCCUAAUACAUGCAAGUCGAGCGAACGGACGAGAAGCUUGCUUCUCUGAUGUUAGCGGCGGACGGGUGAGUAACACGUGGAUAACCUACCUACAAGACUGGGAUAACUUCGGGAAACCGGAGCUAAUACCGGAUAAUAUUUUGAACCGCAUGGUUCAAAAGUGGAAGACGGUCUUGCUGUCACUUAUAGAUGGAUCCGCGCUGCAUUAGCUAGUUGGUAAGGUAACGGCUUACCAAGGCAACGAUGCAUAGCCGACCUGAGAGGGUGAUCGGCCACACUGGAACUGAGACACGGUCCAGACUCCUACGGGAGGCAGCAGUAGGGAAUCUUCCGCAAUGGGCGAAAGCCUGACGGAGCAACGCCGCGUGAGUGAUGAAGGUCUUCGGAUCGUAAAACUCUGUUAUUAGGGAAGAACAUAUGUGUAAGUAACUGUGCACAUCUUGACGGUACCUAAUCAGAAAGCCACGGCUAACUACGUGCCAGCAGCCGCGGUAAUACGUAGGUGGCAAGCGUUGUCCGGAAUUAUUGGGCGUAAAGCGCGCGUAGGCGGUUUUUUAAGUCUGAUGUGAAAGCCCACGGCCCAACCGUGGAGGGUCAUUGGAAACUGGAAAACUUGAGUGCAGAAGAGGAAAGUGGAAUUCCAUGUGUAGCGGUGAAAUGCGCAGAGAUAUGGAGGAACACCAGUGGCGAAGGCGACUUUCUGGUCUGUAACUGACGCUGAUGUGCGAAAGCGUGGGGAUCAAACAGGAUUAGAUACCCUGGUAGUCCACGCCGUAAACGAUGAGUGCUAAGUGUUAGGGGGUUUCCGCCCCUUAGUGCUGCAGCUAACGCAUUAAGCACUCCGCCUGGGGAGUACGACCGCAAGGUUGAAACUCAAAGGAAUUGACGGGGACCCGCACAAGCGGUGGAGCAUGUGGUUUAAUUCGAAGCAACGCGAAGAACCUUACCAAAUCUUGACAUCCUUUGACAACUCUAGAGAUAGAGCUUUCCCCUUCGGGGGACAAAGUGACAGGUGGUGCAUGGUUGUCGUCAGCUCGUGUCGUGAGAUGUUGGGUUAAGUCCCGCAACGAGCGCAACCCUUAAGCUUAGUUGCCAUCAUUAAGUUGGGCACUCUAAGUUGACUGCCGGUGACAAACCGGAGGAAGGUGGGGAUGACGUCAAAUCAUCAUGCCCCUUAUGAUUUGGGCUACACACGUGCUACAAUGGACAAUACAAAGGGCAGCGAAACCGCGAGGUCAAGCAAAUCCCAUAAAGUUGUUCUCAGUUCGGAUUGUAGUCUGCAACUCGACUACAUGAAGCUGGAAUCGCUAGUAAUCGUAGAUCAGCAUGCUACGGUGAAUACGUUCCCGGGUCU